CCUGAGAAACCCAAAAGAUCGAAUGGGGAGAUUCAUCGUCAGCUCAUUUUGUAUAUAUGCAAGUUGUGAUAUGGGUUACUACUUGUAGUAUUGCCUGUACAUUCUUGUAUAUUUAGUUGCAAGAUGUUGUCGGCGUGCACUUCUCCCCUAGUAGGACAUCGCGACCCGUUGAAUGUUGGUUUACGGCCCGAGUGGUAGCUUUUAAUGAAUUUUAUUCAUUGGAAACCCUUGGUGUUUUCUAACUGGCAUUCGUCGGUAUUCGUAUGGUAUUGAGCCGCAUAUAAUGUGUGCGUCCAUAUCCAUCGCAAGCGAGGUUAGUUACUGAUAGUACGGACCUAGUGCCGUCGUUGGUGCUAAUCAGCUGUUGGUUGUAUGGAAUUCUAGGACUGGCUUUUAAAUAAAAUACCGGUCAGCGAUGCUACUGCUUUGGG
RNAcentral lists this ribosomal RNA (431 nucleotides) under Mollibracon bimaris. Its description in RNAcentral is "eukaryotic LSU rRNA". Lineage: Eukaryota; Metazoa; Arthropoda; Insecta; Hymenoptera; Braconidae. The record is from RNAcentral.